This 1058-nucleotide long non-coding RNA is filed under the name Marmota monax (woodchuck). The record is from RNAcentral. Lineage: Eukaryota; Metazoa; Chordata; Mammalia; Rodentia; Sciuridae.
UCUGUUUCUCUCUUUAGGGCUCACCAUCUCUAGCAAUCAGAGAAAUGGAAAUUAAAACUACUCUAAGAUACCAUCUCACACCAGUAAGAAUGGCAGCCAUUAUGAAGUCAAACAACAAUAAGUGCUGAAAAGGAUGCAGGGAAAAAGGUACACUCAUACACUGCUGUUGGGACUGCAAAUUGGUUGCAGCCAAUUUGGAAAGCAGUAUGGAGAUUCCUUGGAAAGCUGGGAAUGGAACCACCAUUUGACCCAGCUAUUCCUUUUCUCGGACUAUACCCAAAAGACCUAAAAACAGCAUACUACAGGGACACAGCCACAUCAAUGUUUAUGGCAGCACAAUUCAUAAUAGCUAAACUGUGGAACCAACCUAGAUGCCCUUCAAUGGAUGAAUGGAUAAAAAAAUGUGGCAUAUAUAUAUAUAUAUAUAUAUAUAUAUAUAUAUGAAUAUUACUCAGCACUAAAAAAUAACAAGAUCAUGGCAUUUUCAGGGAAAUUGAUGGCAUUAGAGCAGAUUAUACUAAGUGAAGUUAGCCAAUCCCUAAAAAAACAAAUACCCAAUGUGUUCUCUGAUAUAAGGGAGGUGACUCAAAAUGGGGUAAGGAGGAAGAGUGUGAGAAGAAGAUUAUCACUAAAUAGGGAAGAGAGGUGGGUGGGAAAGGGAGGGAAAAGGGGAAUUGCAUAGAAGAUGGAAGGAGACCCUCAUUAUUAUACAGAAUACAUGUAUGACGAUGCGAGGAAAAAGAAAAAAAAAGAAGUGUGCCACAUUAGAUUGGGUAGAGAGAAAUGAUGGGAGGGGAGGGGUGGGGAAGGGGGAAAGGAAGGGCAGCAGAUUAAAACAGACAUUAUUAUUGCUGUAUGUAUAUAUGUGACUGCAUGACCCAUGGAUUCUGCAACCUGUACACUCAGAAAAAGAAGAAAUUAUAUCCCAUCUGAUUCAAAUGUAUGAUAUGUCAAGAUCAUUGUACUGUCAUGUGUAACUAAUUAAAACAGAUAAAAAAAAAUUCUGAAAACACAAGGGUGUCCAGUGCUGAGCUUCUUGAAACAACCUCUAUUUGAAG